AUCAUAGAUGCAGGGGUAAUUGCCCUCACAAAACUUGGCCCCCAACAUGGGGCUGGACUAAUCGGCUUUCCCUCGACACCCCGAUAACCACGGUCAGAGGACGUACAGAUCCACUUAAAGCAGCGCUGCAAGGUUGGCCGGAAGCCUUCCCAAUAGCAAAAGCAAAUGCCAAGAAUACGGCAAAGAAACUGAUCCUGACUCAGUAGAAGGAACUCACAACUUGCAGCCCGGGGACUGGGUGGUGAUAAAAAGGCAUGUGAGAAAAGGACUAGUUCCAAGAUUCGAUGGUCCCUUUCAAGUACUGUUGACCACCCACACCGCUGUAAAGGUUGAAGGAAAAUCCAACUGGA
Long non-coding RNA from Bufo bufo (common toad), 350 nucleotides. RefSeq lists it as uncharacterized. The transcript is spliced from 3 exons. NCBI's taxonomy places the organism in Eukaryota, Metazoa, Chordata, Amphibia, Anura, Bufonidae. The record is from RefSeq and is a predicted model, not a curated record.